Molecule: ribosomal RNA, 750 nt
Filed under: uncultured bacterium
Lineage: Bacteria
Description: bacterial SSU rRNA
Rfam family: Bacterial small subunit ribosomal RNA
Source: RNAcentral
GUCGAACGGUGUCUUCGGACAUAGUGGCGCACGGGUGCGUAACACGUAUGCAACCUACCUUACAUUGGGGGAUAGCCUUUCGAAAGGGAGAUUAAUACCGCAUAAGACAGUAGCUGGGCAUCCAGCAGCUGUUAAAGAUUUAUCGAUGUAAGAUGGGCAUGCGUCCAAUUAGUUAGUUGGCGAGGUAACGGCUCACCAAGACUUUGAUUGGUAGGGGAACUGAGAGGUCAAUCCCCCACACUGGCACUGAGAUACGGGCCAGACUCCUACGGGAGGCAGCAGUAGGGAAUAUUGGGCAAUGGACGCAAGUCUGACCCAGCCAUGCCGCGUGCAGGAUGAAGGCGUUAUGCGUUGUAAACUGCUUUUAUACAGGAAGAAACGACUCUUGCGAGAGGCAUUGACGGUACUGUAUGAAUAAGCACCGGCUAACUCCGUGCCAGCAGCCGCGGUAAUACGGAGGGUGCAAGCGUUGUCCGGAUUUAUUGGGUUUAAAGGGUGCGCAGGUGGUUUAUUAAGUCAGUGGUGAAAGACGGUCGCUCAACGAUUGCAGUGCCAUUGAAACUGGUAGACUUGAGUAAAGUAGAGGUGGGCGGAAUUGAUAGUGUAGCGGUGAAAUGCAUAGAUAUUAUCAAGAACUCCAAUUGCGUAGGCAGCUCACUUGGCUUUUACUGACACUCAUGCACGAAAGUGUGGGUAUCAAACAGGAUUAGAUACCCUGGUAGUCCACACUGUAAACGAUGAUAACUAGGU